RNAcentral lists this ribosomal RNA (2099 nucleotides) under Klebsiella variicola. Its description in RNAcentral is "bacterial LSU rRNA". It matches the Rfam family "Bacterial large subunit ribosomal RNA", at positions 1 to 2136 of the family's 2925-position model. Lineage: Bacteria; Pseudomonadati; Pseudomonadota; Gammaproteobacteria; Enterobacterales; Enterobacteriaceae. The record is from RNAcentral.
GGGUUGUGAGGUUAAGCGACUAAGCGUACACGGUGGAUGCCCUGGCAGUCAGAGGCGAUGAAGGACGUGCUAAUCUGCGAAAAGCGUCGGUAAGGUGAUAUGAACCGUUAUAGCCGGCGAUGUCCGAAUGGGGAAACCCAGUGCAAUUCGUUGCACUAUCGUUAACUGAAUACAUAGGUUAACGAGGCGAACCGGGGGAACUGAAACAUCUAAGUACCCCGAGGAAAAGAAAUCAACCGAGAUUCCCCCAGUAGCGGCGAGCGAACGGGGAGCAGCCCAGAGUCUGAAUCAGCUUGUGUUUAGUGGAACGGUCUGGAAAGUCCGACGGUACAGGGUGAUAGUCCCGUACACCAAAAUGCACAGGCUGUGAACUCGAAGAGUAGGGCGGGACACGUGGUAUCCUGUCUGAAUAUGGGGGGACCAUCCUCCAAGGCUAAAUACUCCUGACUGACCGAUAGUGAACCAGUACCGUGAGGAAAGGCGAAAAGAACCCCGGCGAGGGAGUGAAAAGAACCUGAAACCGUGUACGUACAAGCAGUGGGAGCACCUUCGGGUGUGACUGCGUACCUUUGUAUAAUGGGUCAGCGACUUAUAUUCUGUAGCAAGGUUAACCGUAUAGGGAGCCGCAGGAAACCGAGUCUUAACUGGGCGUUAAGUUGCAGGGUAUAGACCCGAAACCCGGUGAUCUAGCCAUGGGCAGGUUGAAGGUUGGGUAACACUAACUGGAGGACCGAACCGACUAAUGUUGAAAAAUUAGCGGAUGACUUGUGGCUGGGGUGAAAGGCCAAUCAAACCGGGAGAUAGCUGGUUCUCCCGAAAGCUAUUUAGGUAGCGCCUCGUGAAUUCAUCUUCGGGGUAGAGCACUGUUUCGGCUAGGGGUCAUCCCGACUUACCAACCCGAUGCAAACUACGAAUACCGAAGAAUGUUAUCACGGAGACACACGGCGGGUGCUAACGUCCGUCGUGAAGAGGGAAACAACCCAGACCGCCAGCUAAGGUCCCAAAGUCAUGGUUAAGUGGGAAACGAUGUGGGAAGGCACAGACAGCCAGGAUGUUGGCUUAGAAGCAGCCAUCAUUUAAAGAAAGCGUAAUAGCUCACUGGUCGAGUCGGCCUGCGCGGAAGAUGUAACGGGGCUAAACCAUGCACCGAAGCUGCGGCAGCGACGCUUAUGCGUUGUUGGGUAGGGGAGCGUUCUGUAAGCCUGCGAAGGUGGCCUGUGAGGGCUGCUGGAGGUAUCAGAAGUGCGAAUGCUGACAUAAGUAACGAUAAAGCGGGUGAAAAGCCCGCUCGCCGGAAGACCAAGGGUUCCUGUCCAACGUUAAUCGGGGCAGGGUGAGUCGACCCUAAGGCGAGGCCGAAAGGCGUAGUCGAUGGGAAACAGGUUAAUAUUCCUGUACUUGGUGUUACUGCGAAGGGGACGGAGAAGGCUAUGUUAGCCGGGCGACGGUUGUCCCGGUUUAAGCAUGUAGGCGGAGGUUCGGUAAAUCCGGUACCUUUAACGCUGAGGUGUGAUGACGAGGCACUACGGUGCUGAAGUAACAAAUGCCCUGCUUCGGAAAAGCCUCUAAGCAUCAGGUAACAUUAAAUCGUACCCCAAACCGACACAGGUGGUCAGGUAGAGAAUACCAAGGCGCUUGAGAGAACUCGGGUGAAGGAACUAGGCAAAAUGGUGCCGUAACUUCGGGAGAAGGCACGCUGGUGUGUAGGUGAAGUCCCUGCGGAUGGAGCUGAGACCAGUCGAAGAUACCAGCUGGCUGCAACUGUUUAUUAAAAACACAGCACUGUGCAAACACGAAAGUGGACGUAUACGGUGUGACGCCUGCCCGGUGCCGGAAGGUUAAUUGAUGGGGUUAUCCGUAAGGAGAAGCUCUUGAUCGAAGCCCCGGUAAACGGCGGCCGUAACUAUAACGGUCCUAAGGUAGCGAAAUUCCUUGUCGGGUAAGUUCCGACCUGCACGAAUGGCGUAAUGAUGGCGGGCUGUCUCCACCCGAGACUCAGUGAAAUUGAACUCGCUGUGAAGAUGCAGUGUACCCGCGGCAAGACGGAAAGACCCCGUGAACCUUUACUAUAGCUUGACACUGAACAUUGAGCCUUGAUG